GUUAGGAAUUUUGGGCAAUGGGCGAAAGCCUGACCCAGCAACGCCGCGUGGAGGACGAAGCCCCUCGGGGUGUAAACUCCUUUUCUGCGGGAAGAGGAAGGACGGUACCGCAGGAAUAAGCCUCGGCUAACUACGUGCCAGCAGCCGCGGUAAUACGUAGGAGGCGAGCGUUGUCCGGAUUUACUGGGCGUAAAGGGCGUGUAGGCGGCACGGCAAGUUGGGUGUGAAAGCCCCCGGCUCAACUGGGGAGGGUCACUCAAUACUGCCGGGCUUGAGGCCGGUAGGGGGAGACGGAAUUCCCGGUGUAGUGGUGAAAUGCGUAGAUAUCGGGAGGAACACCGAUGGCGAAAGCGGUCUCCUGGGCCGGUCCUGACGCUGAGGCGCGAAAGCGCGGGGAGCGAACCGGAUUAGAUACCCGAGUAGUCC
Molecule: ribosomal RNA, 426 nt
Filed under: uncultured bacterium
Lineage: Bacteria
Description: bacterial SSU rRNA
Rfam family: Bacterial small subunit ribosomal RNA
Source: RNAcentral